GAGGGUAUAGCUCAGUGGUAGAGCACGUGCUUAGCAUGCACGAGGUCCUGGGUUCAAUCCCCAGUACCUUCG
Molecule: transfer RNA, 72 nt
Filed under: Vicugna pacos (alpaca)
Lineage: Eukaryota; Metazoa; Chordata; Mammalia; Artiodactyla; Camelidae
Description: tRNA-Ala (AGC) (tRNA-Ala-AGC-483-1)
Rfam family: tRNA
About the family: Transfer RNA (tRNA) molecules are approximately 80 nucleotides in length. Their secondary structure includes four short double-helical elements and three loops (D, anti-codon, and T loops).
Source: Rfam by way of RNAcentral